RNAcentral lists this ribosomal RNA (457 nucleotides) under uncultured Anoxybacillus sp. Its description in RNAcentral is "bacterial SSU rRNA". It matches the Rfam family "Bacterial small subunit ribosomal RNA", at positions 925 to 1382 of the family's 1533-position model. Lineage: Bacteria; Bacillati; Bacillota; Bacilli; Caryophanales; Anoxybacillaceae. The record is from RNAcentral.
ACAAGCGGUGGAGCAUGUGGUUUAAUUCAAAGCAACGCGAAGAACCUUACCAGGUCUUGACAUCCCUGACAACCCGAGAGAUCGGGCGUUCCCCUUCGGGGGACAGGGUGACAGGUGGUGCAUGGUUGUCGUCAGCUCGUGUCGUGAGAUGUUGGGUUAAGUCCCGCAACGAGCGCAACCCUCGACCUUAGUUGCCAGCAUUCAGUUGGGCACUCUAAGGUGACUGCCGGCUAAAAGUCGGAGGAAGGUGGGGAUGACGUCAAAUCAUCAUGCCCCUUAUGACCUGGGCUACACACGUGCUACAAUGGGCGGUACAAAGGGUCGCGAACCCGCGAGGGGGAGCCAAUCCCAAAAAGCCGCUCUCAGUUCGGAUUGCAGGCUGCAACUCGCCUGCAUGAAGCCGGAAUCGCUAGUAAUCGCGGAUCAGCAUGCCGCGGUGAAUACGUUCCCGGGCCUU